UAGGGAAUCUUCCACAAUGGACGCACGUCUGAUGGAGCAACGCCGCGUGAGUGAAGAAGGUUUUCGGAUCGUAAAGCUCUGUUGUUGGUGAAGAAGGAUAGAGGCAGUAACUGGUCUUUAUUUGACGGUAAUCAACCAGAAAGUCACGGCUAACUACGUGCCAGCAGCCGCGGUAAUAUGUAGGUGGCAAGCGUUGUCCGGAUUUAUUGGGCGUAAAGCGAGCGCAGGCGGAAUGAUAAGUCUGAUGUGAAAGCCCACGGCUCAACCGUGGAACUGCAUCGGAAACUGUCAUUCUUGAGUGCAGAAGAGGAGAGUGGAAUUCCAUGUGUAGCGGUGGAAUGCGUAGAUAUAUGGAAGAACACCAGUGGCGAAGGCGGCUCUCUGGUCUGCAACUGACGCGGAGGCUCGAAAGCAUGGGUAGCGAACAGG
RNAcentral lists this ribosomal RNA (429 nucleotides) under Bacillota bacterium. RNAcentral describes it as "Firmicutes bacterium partial 16S ribosomal RNA". It matches the Rfam family "Bacterial small subunit ribosomal RNA", at positions 355 to 776 of the family's 1533-position model. Lineage: Bacteria; Bacillati; Bacillota. The record is from RNAcentral.